RNAcentral lists this ribosomal RNA (253 nucleotides) under uncultured bacterium. RNAcentral describes it as "partial 16S ribosomal RNA". It matches the Rfam family "Bacterial small subunit ribosomal RNA", at positions 524 to 776 of the family's 1533-position model. The record is from RNAcentral.
UACGGAGGGUGCAAGCGUUGUCCGGAUUUAUUGGGUUUAAAGGGUGCGUAGGCGGCUAUUUAAGUCAGCGGUGAAAGACUUCGGCUCAACCGGAGCAGUGCCAUUGAUACUGGAUAGCUUGAGUGUUGGAGGGGUACAUGGAAUUGAUGGUGUAGCGGUGAAAUGCAUAGAUACCAUCAGGAACACCGAUAGCGAAGGCAUUGUACUGGCCAACAACUGACGCUGAGGCACGAAAGUGUGGGGAUCGAACAGG